GACGAACGCUGGCGGCGUGCUUAACACAUGCAAGUCGAACGGAAAGGCCUUUUCGGAGGUACUCGAGUGGCGAACGGGUGAGUAACACGUGGGUGAUCUGCCCUGCACUCUGGGAUAAGCCUGGGAAACUGGGUCUAAUACCGGAUAGGACCGCACUUUAGUGUGUGUGGUGGAAAGUUGUUUCGGUGUAGGAUGAGCCCGCGGCCUAUCAGCUUGUUGGUGGGGUAAUGGCCUACCAAGGCGGCGACGGGUAGCCGGACUGAGAGGUUGGUCGGCCACAUUGGGACUGAGAUACGGCCCGGACUCCGACGGGGGGAGGGAGUGGGGAAGAUGGCACAAGGGGCGCAAGCCUGAUGCAGCGACGCCGCGGGGGGGAUGACGGCCUUCGGGUUGUAAACGCCUUUCGCCAGGGACGAAGCGUUUUGUGACGGUACCUGGAGAAGAAGCACCGGCUAACUACGUG
Molecule: ribosomal RNA, 463 nt
Filed under: uncultured bacterium
Lineage: Bacteria
Description: partial 16S ribosomal RNA
Rfam family: Bacterial small subunit ribosomal RNA
Source: RNAcentral